Molecule: ribosomal RNA, 253 nt
Filed under: uncultured bacterium
Lineage: Bacteria
Description: partial 16S ribosomal RNA
Rfam family: Bacterial small subunit ribosomal RNA
Source: RNAcentral
UACGUAGGGGGCUAGCGUUGUUCGGAAUUACUGGGCGUAAAGCGCUCGUAGGCGGACUUGUGAGUCAGAGGUGAAAUCCCGAAGCUUAACUUCGGAACUGCCUUUGAUACUGCAAGUCUUGAGGAUGAGAGAGGUAAGUGGAACUGCGAGUGUAGAGGUGAAAUUCGUAGAUAUUCGCAAGAACACCAGUGGCGAAGGCGGCUUACUGGCUCAUUUCUGACGCUGAGGUGCGAAAGCGUGGGGAGCAAACAGG